CAGCCCCUCGAGUGGUGGGGAUGAUUAUUUGGCCUAAAGCGUCCGUAGCCGGCCGAGCAAGUCUUCCGUUAAAUCCAGCGUCUCAAGCGUUGGACUGCGGGAGAUACUACACAGCUAGAGAGUGGGAGAGGUGUGCGGUAUUCUGGGGGUAGGGGCGAAAUCCUUUGAUCCCCGGAGGACCACCAGUGGCGAAGGCUGCACACUAGAACACGUCUGACGGUCAGGGACGAAAGCUGGGGUAGCGAACCGGAUUAGAGACCCGAGUAGUCC
RNAcentral lists this ribosomal RNA (270 nucleotides) under uncultured archaeon. RNAcentral describes it as "partial 16S ribosomal RNA". It matches the Rfam family "Archaeal small subunit ribosomal RNA", at positions 477 to 747 of the family's 1478-position model. The record is from RNAcentral.